RNAcentral lists this ribosomal RNA (245 nucleotides) under uncultured bacterium. Its description in RNAcentral is "partial small subunit ribosomal RNA". It matches the Rfam family "Bacterial small subunit ribosomal RNA", at positions 26 to 285 of the family's 1533-position model. The record is from RNAcentral.
AGAAUCAACGCUGGCGGCGUGCCUAACACAUGCAAGUCGCACGAGAAAGGGUAGCAAUACCUGAGUACAGUGGCGCACGGGUGAGUAACACGUGAAUGAUCUACCUCCGAGUGGGGAAAUAACUGAGAGAAAUCUUAGCUAAUACCGCAUAAUACCCACGGGUCAAAGCAGCAAUGCGCUUGGAGAGGAGUUCGCGGCCGAUUAGUUAGUGGCGGGGUAAUGGCCCACCAAGACGAUGAUCGGUA